Molecule: long non-coding RNA, 1565 nt
Organism: Hippocampus comes (tiger tail seahorse)
Lineage: Eukaryota; Metazoa; Chordata; Actinopteri; Syngnathiformes; Syngnathidae
Exons: 2
Source: RefSeq, a predicted model, not a curated record
GGGUGGGAGUAUGUUCCUUUUGACAAUUAUGUGGUUUGCAACUUGAUAUCCCGAAGCUGUACCAUUUGCAUAAGAUAAGUACUGCAACGGUUGUAAAAGCGCUCAUCACGUUUUUUUUUUUUUCUCUGUUCGGUCUUCCUAAGAUCGUUCAAACUGAUCACGGGUCAAACUUUAUGUCACGGAUUUUUACGUACGCUAUGAAACAGCUAAACAUAUCUCAUUGUUGGUCGAGUGCAUACCACUCUGAAAGCGAAGGGGCUAUUGAGCGGUUCCAUCAAACCCUUAAAUCCAUGCUCCAUACUUACUGCUUUGACUCUGACAAAGAUUGGGAUGAAAUACUCGUCUUUGCCAUUUGGAAAGUUUCUCAGGAGUGGUUGGGCUUUAGUCCAGCAGACUUGGUGUUUGCAGACACUGUGAGAAGGCCCUAAAAGAGAAAUGGCUGGGUGAUGACAAACCGCAAAACCUGUUUGAUUUUGUAACUCUCACUUGAGACUCCAACGAGCGUGUGAACUGGCAAAACAAAAUAUGUCGUUCAGUCAAACAAAAAUGAAAAGCUGGUUUGCAAAAACACCAAAAGUUGCUCCUUCAGUCCAGGUGAUAAAGUGUUGGUUUUAGUGCCUGUUCUGCUCUUCUGCUCAUAAGGCCCACAUUAGAGUGGGCCUUAUGUUGUCAAAGAGAAACUCAACAGUUGUGACUACAUUGUUGCCACUCCAGACUGGAGGUAGAGUAACAGGUUAUGCCAAAUUAACAUGGCGAAACCCGAUUUGGAUCGGGAACCUGUCUUGCUGCAGGCUGUUGACAAGAAAAGUGAUGCAGUUUUGGUGUUGCACAAUGCCAAAAUUGUCAACGUAGCCCCAGUAGGCAACGUGCUGUUCAGUACCGAUACGACAGAGACUGGCAUUGGCCUGUCCUCGUCUGUUGAUAACGCCGAUGAUUAUAUGUGCCCUCUAAGACUCGUGUGCUGCACCACAACAUUGGGAGGAUCAUAUCCAGCAGAUUGACAUCGUGUUUGAUAGGCUGCGUGAUGCAAACCUUUCACUGAACUUUGGCCAAGACACAGUGACUUAUUUGGGCAAGGUGGUUGGUCAUGGCUAGUUCAAAUGUGCAAGCUAAAGCUGAGGCAAUUCUUUCUUUUCUGGCUCCUCUUUCUCAGUGUCACCAACCUUUUUUGACCGAAGAUCUACUUUUCAAGAAACCAACCUCCUGCGAUCGACCCGUGACAGCAUGUGAACACAUAUGCGCACGUGCGCACCCAUGCACACCCAUGCACACGCGUGUAUACGCACACAUGUAUGCCAUGAUGAGCAACAGCCAUAACAGCCUCUAACGUGAACAAAACUGAAAGAUAAAGUAGAUACAAGAGUGUCUGAAAAGGAAAUCACUGCCUACCUCAGUAAAGACGUGACGUGGAGGCAUGGGACAAACCUUUGCAGCGUAUUAAGAACAGGAACUUCACUAUCAUAGCUCACAUAUACUGUUUUGAAAUACUUCUCCUGGUGCUCCAGAUUCCCAUUCUUUGUCAAUGUCAUUUGUGAAUUACAGAUUAAACAAAUUUUGAAUGAGAA